GAGGGUGUAGCUGGGUGGUACAGUGCAUGUCUGGCAUGCAUGAGAUCCUGGGUUCAAGCCCCAGUACCUCCA
This 72-nucleotide transfer RNA is filed under the name Camelus ferus (Wild Bactrian camel). It matches the Rfam family "tRNA". From Rfam's summary of the family: Transfer RNA (tRNA) molecules are approximately 80 nucleotides in length. Their secondary structure includes four short double-helical elements and three loops (D, anti-codon, and T loops). Lineage: Eukaryota; Metazoa; Chordata; Mammalia; Artiodactyla; Camelidae. The record is from Rfam by way of RNAcentral.